RNAcentral lists this ribosomal RNA (421 nucleotides) under uncultured bacterium. Its description in RNAcentral is "bacterial SSU rRNA". It matches the Rfam family "Bacterial small subunit ribosomal RNA", at positions 358 to 770 of the family's 1533-position model. The record is from RNAcentral.
GGAAUAUUGCGCAAUGGCCGAAAGGCUGACGCAGCGACGCCGCGUGUGGGAGGAAGCCCUUCGGGGUGUAAACCACUGUCGGAGGGGAAGAAACCCGCGCUCUCGAACAGGGAGUGCGAUUGACGGUACCCUCAGAGGAAGCGCCGGCUACCUCCGUGCCCGCAGCCGCGGUAAGACGGAGGGCGCAAGCGUUGUUCGGAAUUACUGGGCGUAAAGCGCGCGCAGGCGGCCUUCUAAGUCCCUUGUGAAAUUCCGGGGCUCAACCCCGGAGAUGCGUGGGAUACUGGAAGGCUGGAGAACGGUAGAGGCUAGCGGAAUUCCUGGUGUAGCGGUGGAAUGCGUAGAUAUCAGGAGGAACACCGGUGGCGAAGGCGGCUAGCUGGGCCGUUUCUGACGCUCAUGUGCGAAAGCGUGGGGAGCA